GACGAACGCUGGCUGCGUGCUUAACACAUGCAAGUCGAACGCUGAAGCCUGGUGCUUGCACCGGGUGGAUGAGUGGCGAACGGGUGAGUAACACGUGAGUAACCUGCCCCUGACUUCGGGAUAAGCCCGGGAAACUGGGUCUAAUACCGGAUACGACUGCCGGACGCAUGUCUGGUGGUGGAAAGUUUUUUCGGUUGGGGAUGGGCUCGCGGCCUAUCAGUUUGUUGGUGAGGUAAUGGCUCACCAAGACGACGACGGGUAGCCGGCCUGAGAGGGCGACCGGCCACACUGGGACUGAGACACGGCCCAGACUCCUACGGGAGGCAGCAGUGGGGAAUAUUGCACAAUGGGGGAAACCCUGAUGCAGCGACGCAGCGUGCGGGAUGACGGCCUUCGGGUUGUAAACCGCUUUCAGCAGGGAAGAAGCGCAAGUGACGGUACCUGCAGAAGAAGUACCGGCUAACUACGUGCCAGCAGCCGCGGUAAUACGUAGGGUACGAGCGUUGUCCGGAAUUAUUGGGCGUAAAGAGCUCGUAGGUGGUUGGUCACGUCUGCUGUGGAAACGCAACGCUUAACGUUGCGCGUGCAGUGGGUACGGGCUGACUAGAGUGCAGUAGGGGAGUCUGGAAUUCCUGGUGUAGCGGUGAAAUGCGCAGAUAUCAGGAGGAACACCGGUGGCGAAGGCGGGACUCUGGGCUGUAACUGACACUGAGGAGCGAAAGCAUGGGGAGCGAACAGGAUUAGAUACCCUGGUAGUCCAUGCCGUAAACGUUGGGCACUAGGUGUGGGGGGCAUUCCACGUUCUCCGCGCCGUAGCUAACGCAUUAAGUGCCCCGCCUGGGGAGUACGGUCGCAAGGCUAAAACUCAAAGGAAUUGACGGGGGCCCGCACAAGCGGCGGAGCAUGCGGAUUAAUUCGAUGCAACGCGAAGAACCUUACCAAGGCUUGACAUACACCGGACCGUCCUGGAAACAGGUCUUCUUCUUUGAAGCUGGUGUACAGGUGGUGCAUGGUUGUCGUCAGCUCGUGUCGUGAGAUGUUGGGUUAAGUCCCGCAACGAGCGCAACCCUCGUUCUAUGUUGCCAGCACGUGAUGGUGGGAACUCAUAGGAGACUGCCGGGGUCAACUCGGAGGAAGGUGGGGAUGACGUCAAAUCAUCAUGCCCUUUAUGCCUUGGGCUUCACGCAUGCUACAAUGGCUGGUACAGAGAGAGGCGAACCCGUGAGGGCAAGCGAAUCCCUUAAAGCCAGUCUCAGUUCGGAUCGUAGUCUGCAAUUCGACUACGUGAAGUCGGAGUCGCUAGUAAUCGCAGAUCAGCAACGCUGCGGUGAAUACGUUCCCGGGCCU
RNAcentral lists this ribosomal RNA (1347 nucleotides) under uncultured bacterium. RNAcentral's name for it is "bacterial SSU rRNA". It matches the Rfam family "Bacterial small subunit ribosomal RNA", at positions 28 to 1381 of the family's 1533-position model. The record is from RNAcentral.